RNAcentral lists this unclassified non-coding RNA (271 nucleotides) under Hevea brasiliensis (rubber tree). Lineage: Eukaryota; Viridiplantae; Streptophyta; Magnoliopsida; Malpighiales; Euphorbiaceae. The record is from RNAcentral.
GGAUGAACUACUCUACUUAAACCCUCUGAAUGAAACCACUGAUGACUCCCAGUAACUGCGGCCCGUCCGACUAGUCCUUCUCCUACUAUAUUGAUUUGACUUUCCAUCAUCAUUUUGUUUACAAGCAAUUGCACUCUCUCCCCUGCUUGAUUCAUAAGCUGAGGAUUACGUACCUCCCCCGGACCCCAGCAAACGCCCCAAUCAUGGAACGGCAGUUCCGGAUUCUCAACCAUCGGAACUCCAUGAAUACCGGAGUAUGUUGAUGGUUCAU